Long non-coding RNA from Nomascus leucogenys (northern white-cheeked gibbon), 769 nucleotides. RefSeq lists it as uncharacterized. The transcript has 3 exons. Lineage: Eukaryota; Metazoa; Chordata; Mammalia; Primates; Hylobatidae. The record is from RefSeq and is a predicted model, not a curated record.
UGAGUUUGGUCUGGUUUUUCUUUCUGGUCUAACAGACAGCCCUGAGUUCAUCAGUGCCUCACACUUGCUGUGCUCUCCCUCUCCCCAGCACACAGAAAUACUCUCCACACCAUGCUGCACUGCUGCGGAUGAGGGAAGGGUGGUGUCGGGGCUUCAAGACUGUUUUUCCUACCUCUUCAGUGCCUCUUUCAGUGAUAUGAAGUUAAAACCAGGAACAUGGAGGAGACAUCUUUCCGCCUAUUUCUCUCCAUAAGUAUAAAAGACCAUAAAAGACCAUCUAGGGACUUCAGAACCCAAAUAAUGACACAAUGGGCUAACUGCUGACUGGAGAGGGGAGAAAAUGGAACACGGAGAGACAGAAGAAAGGUAGGAGUGUGUUAACACGUGGAAUCCAUUAAGGGCUGGAAGGGUGAUUUAUUUUAGGAAGAGCAAGUUCUCUACCAUCAAAGGUCACAAAGGAUCAAGUCAGAGAGGACAGGCCUGCUUUUCAAGAGCCCACACCCAAAAUGGAAAGAUGAGGGAAGAUGAAUCAUUUUGCACUAUUGGGUUGGAACAGCAGAGUGAUGCAAAAAAUUCUGAGAUCAAUUUUCCUAUCAAUUCUGGUGUCCAAUGAAUUGGCUUUUCAGCCAGAUGGUUCACAGGUUCAGAAAAGGCUUGUUGAUCCAUUAUCCCCUGAGGGAGGGGUUCCAUAAGUGGACAUUCCAGGGCCCAGAAUCUUAAGUUCUCAUGCCAAGAGUGCUCUGAUGGAAAAAUUUCCAUCAUGCUUUAU